AUUUAAACAAGCUCCCAAGAAGGCAACAGGGACCCACUGUACCCCAAGAGGCACUCCAAGUUUCCUUCAGAGAGGAAAAAGAGAGACGGGGCUCCUAGAACCCACUCUCCCCAAAGGCGAGUUUCCCAGAGGAAAUGACAUUUGAAGAGAGACUAAAGGAUGAGAAAAAGACAGCCUUCCUGGAAGAGGAAACAGCAAAUGCAAAAACUCUGAGUUAGGAAAGAACUUGAUGCACUUGAGAAACAAAAAGAAGGCCGGCAAGACUGAAAUCCACAUAAGUCAGACCCGGGCACAGCAAACUGGACGUCCUCAGUAUAUAUGUGGCAACUGAAACCAGGCAUUUAGGACAUGAUCUCAUUCUGUUGCCCAGGGUGAGUGCAGUGGCACCUUCAUGGCUCAUUGCAGUCUCGAUCUCCCAGGCUCAAGCGAUCCUCCCACCUCAGCCUCCCAAAGUGCUGGGAUUGCAGGCGUGAGCCACCUUGCCCAGCCCAUUCUGCAAUCUUCGGAAGGAAGUCACUAUAUGCAGCCUAUGCUUGAGGAGUGGGGAGUUGAAUUCCACAUCCUUGAGGGCAGAAUACCUAAAUAAAUUAUUUGGAAUUCUUCU
RNAcentral lists this long non-coding RNA (604 nucleotides) under Homo sapiens (human). Its description in RNAcentral is "non-protein coding SLC26A4-AS1:16". Lineage: Eukaryota; Metazoa; Chordata; Mammalia; Primates; Hominidae. The record is from RNAcentral.